This 98-nucleotide ribosomal RNA is filed under the name Bacillus pumilus. Lineage: Bacteria; Bacillati; Bacillota; Bacilli; Caryophanales; Bacillaceae. The record is from RNAcentral.
GGAGAUGUGUAUAAGAGACAGGGUCACACCCGUUCCCAUACCGAACACGGAAGUUAAGCUCUUCAGCGCCGAUGGUAGUUGGGGGUCUCCCCCUGUGA